This 459-nucleotide ribosomal RNA is filed under the name uncultured bacterium. Its description in RNAcentral is "partial 16S ribosomal RNA". It matches the Rfam family "Bacterial small subunit ribosomal RNA", at positions 338 to 795 of the family's 1533-position model. The record is from RNAcentral.
CCUACGGGUGGCAGCAGUGAGGAAUAUUGGUCAAUGGCCGAAAGGCUGAACCAGCCAAGUCGCGUGAGGGAAGAAUGUCCUAAGGAUUGUAAACUUCUUUUGUCAGGGAGCAAAGUCACGCACGUGAGGGUGUUGGAGAGUACCUGAAGAAAAAGCAUCGGCUAACUCCGUGCCAGCAGCCGCGGUAAUACGGGGGAUGCGAGCGUUAUCCGGAUUUAUUGGGUUUAAAGGGUGCGUAGGCGGGGUGUCAAGUCAGCGGUAAAAGCGUGGAGCUCAACUCCAUCCAGCCGGUGAAACUGAUGAUCUUGAGUGGGCGAGAAGUAUGCGGAAUGCGCGGUGUAGCGGUGAAAUGCAUAGAUAUCACGCAGAACUCCGAUUGCGAAGGCAGCAUACCGGCGCCCGACUGACGUUGAGGCACGAAAGCGUGGGUAGCAAACAGGAUUAGAUACCCGUGUAGUC